UAGGGAAUCUUCGGCAAUGGACGAAAGUCUGACCGAGCAACGCCGCGUGAGUGAAGAAGGUUUUCGGAUCGUAAAACUCUGUUGUUAGAGAAGAACAAGGACGUUAGUAACUGAACGUCCCCUGACGGUAUCUAACCAGAAAGCCACGGCUAACUACGUGCCAGCAGCCGCGGUAAUACGUAGGUGGCAAGCGUUGUCCGGAUUUAUUGGGCGUAAAGCGAGCGCAGGCGGUUUCUUAAGUCUGAUGUGAAAGCCCCCGGCUCAACCGGGGAGGGUCAUUGGAAACUGGGGGACUGGAGUGCAGAAGAGGAGAGUGGAAUUCCAUGUGUAGCUGUGAAAUGCGUAGAUAUAUGGAGGAAAACCAGUGGCGAGGGCGGCUCUCUGGUCUGUAACUGACGCUGAGGCUCGAAAGCGUGGGGGGCAAACAGG
Molecule: ribosomal RNA, 429 nt
Filed under: Gemmatimonadota bacterium
Lineage: Bacteria; Pseudomonadati; Gemmatimonadota
Description: Gemmatimonadetes bacterium partial 16S ribosomal RNA
Rfam family: Bacterial small subunit ribosomal RNA
Source: RNAcentral